RNAcentral lists this non-coding RNA (450 nucleotides) under uncultured phage cr125_1. Lineage: Duplodnaviria; Heunggongvirae; Uroviricota; Caudoviricetes; Crassvirales; Suoliviridae. The record is from RNAcentral.
AGGAGUAGUUCUUUUUUAAAGAAAUUAAAGAAAUUGACUGUUAGGUCUAUUGGAUUAUUGUUUGGACGAGGGUUCGACUCCCUCAUGCUCCACUAAGUUCGUUCGACUCGAACCAGUGGCAACUUCUGUAUGGGGUAACUUCCAUGGCUAUUGAAAUAAUAUAGUUGUCGGCAACUAAGUUGCAUAAAUAAAACAAGGAGAUUAGUAGGUUUCCUAGCCAUUAGGUUGCAAGUCCUAUAAAAAGGAAACCUUAAUCUAGGGGCAUCGUGGUUUUGACAGCAAUAGUGAAAAUAGAAUAGGUCAAUAACGCCAUAACUGGCAACUUUUAUGUAACAGACUACACUCGUAUUGCAGCGUAAUACGAUAAGUCAACGGCUAAGCUAAUGUCGUAAAAAGCUGGAGUGAGAUAGGAAAUAAGGAGGGUUCGAUUCCCUCCCUCACUACAAAACU